AUAGUCACCGAACAACAGCAAAAGGGCGAAAGCCAAUAUGAAAAUUUAAUGGCAUCCCGAGAUUAGCACUCAUAUGGAAACGUCCAUCUCCGUGAAUGCUAUUAUUAGGGUUGGUUCAAAUCACAAUCCGUAUGGGGUGGCUGGUCGACGCUGAUAAAAGCAGAAACUCAUUCGGUGCGGUGUAACCCCGAAGUUUAUUUAGCGGCUUACCUCGGCGCUGACUGGAAUUGUUGAAUCUGUUUUUCUUUCAUUUCUAUCCCGAAUGUUUCGAUACCCUUUGGAAUACAAUAAGAAUCGAACA
Pieris rapae (cabbage white) is the source of this 301-nucleotide long non-coding RNA. RefSeq lists it as uncharacterized. Lineage: Eukaryota; Metazoa; Arthropoda; Insecta; Lepidoptera; Pieridae. The record is from RefSeq and is a predicted model, not a curated record. The transcript is spliced from 2 exons.